AUUGCUUUCGGAGUCAUUGACAGAGAUAGAGCGUUUGGAAUAGUUGGAUCUAAAUUCGAACAACUUCUAUGGUACAAUUUCGAAGUGACUGUGUCAAGAUCUUAGGAAUCGUUGAAGGAACUGUUCCUACAGAAUAAUCACUUUACAGGAACUGGGUAACAUAAAGACGCUGCAGUUUGA
Molecule: non-coding RNA, 180 nt
Organism: Arachis ipaensis
Lineage: Eukaryota; Viridiplantae; Streptophyta; Magnoliopsida; Fabales; Fabaceae
Source: RefSeq, a predicted model, not a curated record